GUCCUUUUGAUUAUUUAUAUAAGGUCUGACCUGCCCUAUGAAUAUUUAAAUGGCCGCGGUAUACUAACCGUGCAAAGGUAGCAUAGUCAUUUGUCUCUUAAUUGGAGGCUUGAAUGAAGGGUUGGACGAGAUAUAAGCUUUCUUUGUUAUAUUUUAUUGAAUUUGACUUUUGAGUUAAAAGGCUUAAAUUUUUUUAUAGGACGAGAAGACCCUAUAGAAUUUUAUAUAUUUGUAUAAUUGAUUUAUUUAUUUAUUAUUUAAUUUCUUGUUUAAAUAUAUUUUGUUGGGGCGAUGGGAAGAUUUUAAUAACUCUUUUUUGUUUUGAUCAUUGAUUUAUGUUUUAUUCUGAUCCUUUUUUAGAGAUUAUAAGAUUAAAUUACCUUAGGGAUAACAGCGUAAUUCUUUUGGAGAGUUCUUAUCGAUAAAAGAGUUUGCGA
This 437-nucleotide ribosomal RNA is filed under the name Appasus japonicus. Its description in RNAcentral is "partial 16S rRNA". It matches the Rfam family "Bacterial large subunit ribosomal RNA", at positions 1819 to 2523 of the family's 2925-position model. The record is from RNAcentral. Lineage: Eukaryota; Metazoa; Arthropoda; Insecta; Hemiptera; Belostomatidae.